Molecule: long non-coding RNA, 1788 nt
Filed under: Zea mays
Lineage: Eukaryota; Viridiplantae; Streptophyta; Magnoliopsida; Poales; Poaceae
Description: long non-coding RNA (ZMAY_LNC000850)
Source: RNAcentral
AAAGCCAUUAGGAAGACCCCUUGGAAAGUUGUUGGCGCCGAUUUGGACGCCAAACAACGGGAGAGGAACCGCCUGGCGGUGCUCUCUGGGGAGAUGUGGAGCGGACGGUCCACGGUCCUGGGCUAUACGGUUCGAGACCUGGGCGCAGGAGCGGCUCCUUCUUUGCGUAUGUCCGGAUGGUCAGCGAUGGUGCAGAGCGUUGUCUUCUUGGCAGCAGACCCAGAUCUCGCCUCCUGGAGGACCCCGUCAAGGAGGAGAGAACCUAGGGUGUGUCUUGCAGUUGGCAGGCCACACAAGACGCCUCUAGUCAACGUAGAGCUGAAGAGAGGUGAAGAUUUGAGGUACAAGAAGGCUAAACUAGAGUUACUCCUAAUGCAUAAGAUAAAAAUGAUAAGUAAAAUUGAUUGGAUCAAUUGUGAGGGCUUCAAUCGUCCGUAACCCUUCAUUUAUAUAAAGGGAGAGGUCCAGACCCGUUACAAGUCGGUUACCGAGUUAAUCUCACAGGUUUUGCUAAUAAAUCUCGCUAGAAAUUUAAAACUAUAACUGAUCCUGCGUACGUACGGACCGUCCACGCCACCACUGUGGAUCGUUCGGACCUUGGACAAUGUGGCCUAUAGGACCGGACAGUCCGGCUGCCCAUUUUGGUGUUCAAGGGAAGUAUUUAUAGCUAAACCAUAGGAAUUAGGAGAUAGCCACUAGCAAUAUUUCCAAAAUUUCUCCAUGCAUGAUCACCUAGAAAAAACAAAAACCGGGUAGCGGAUAGUCCAGUGUGUUCACAUGCAUAGUACACCUUCAAGAGGCUACCUCUAACACUCCAAUGGCUAGUUUAUGACAUUGGUGUCCUUAGACUGCCUAGUGCUCGCAUCUCUCCAUUGGCAAUGCCAAGACCGUCCCUUCAAGUCAUCCACACGAUGCCAUUGUGACGAUGUUUUCCAUCAGAAAUAUGGAAUGAUUACCCAGUCCUAAAUAAAGAUGUCAAAAAAAACAAUAACGAGACGUCUUGUUCUAGUCACUGUUUCGUGAUGUAUGGCACUAGAAGUCAUUUAUUAGUAACGCAAGUGGUGGUUGGGUACUUGUCAGCACGAAGGUAGACGCAAAAAAAAAAUCAAGUACUACACGCAUUUUAGUUUGAGGUGCCAGUUAUAAGGAAUGUGUACUUCGAACGUACUUGUUGCUGUCUUGUAGUAUAUCAGAAAUUAAGCUUGAUCAAAACUGGUUUAAAUGAUUUUGAAGAAUAAUGCUUUGUGUACAAGAUCGAGGGAUAUGGCUUGUUGAUGAGUUUUUCCGUCCAGAUUAACUAAUAUAUAUACGUCAUACGUGUAGGAAUCCGGAAAUGUUCGUGUGUUCGAAAUAACGAGGUUGUAAUAAAACAAUAUAUUAAAAAAACAAAUUUAAAGAUGAUCGCUGCUUCUAGAAGUACUUGUACAGUUGUACUGCAUGUGGUGAUUGGACUUGAAUCAAUACCAGUCUUCAUGACGUUGUCGCAUUGUUUCCAUUUCGCCCUCGCUAGCCCUACUGCGAAGUACUUCAUGAAGACGUUGUUUAGUACUGAAUAAAUUAAAAUGUUGUUAAGGAGACACUGACACAUUGGUAAAUCAGGCGCUAAAUCAGUGCCGCUUAGCACCGGGGAAGUGGCGAGGGAGCUUCAUGGCAGCUCAGUGAAGCUGGUCGUGCGUUUGGCCAGGGCGAUGGGUUGGUUUGGCUUGGCCAUGAGCACCGAGGGGUGGUGGCAAUGGCGGACGAUGACGCGUGCUUUUUGGCGAGGGUGAAUGGCAGCGUGGGUGUGGG